Molecule: transfer RNA, 77 nt
Filed under: Mycoplasmataceae bacterium
Lineage: Bacteria; Bacillati; Mycoplasmatota; Mollicutes; Mycoplasmatales; Mycoplasmataceae
Description: tRNA-Ile
Rfam family: tRNA
About the family: Transfer RNA (tRNA) molecules are approximately 80 nucleotides in length. Their secondary structure includes four short double-helical elements and three loops (D, anti-codon, and T loops).
Source: RNAcentral
GGAAGUUUAGCUCAGUUGGUUAGAGCCCCCGACUCAUAAUCGGAUGGUCAUAGGUUCAAGUCCUAUAACUUCCACCA